RNAcentral lists this ribosomal RNA (253 nucleotides) under uncultured bacterium. RNAcentral's name for it is "partial 16S ribosomal RNA". It matches the Rfam family "Bacterial small subunit ribosomal RNA", at positions 524 to 776 of the family's 1533-position model. The record is from RNAcentral.
UACGUAGGCAGCGAGCGUUGUUCGGAGUUACUGGGCGUAAAGAGUGCGUAGGCGGUUUUCUAAGUUUGGUGUGAAAUCUCCCGGCUUAACUGGGAGGGUGCGCCGAAGACUGGAAGGCUUGAGUAUGGGAGAGGUAAGCGGAAUUCCUGGUGUAGCGGUGAAAUGCGUAGAUAUCAGGAGGAACACCUGCGGUGUAGACGGCUUACUGGACCAUAACUGACGCUGAGGCACGAAAGCGUGGGUAGCAAAUAGG